Molecule: long non-coding RNA, 211 nt
Filed under: Mytilus galloprovincialis (Mediterranean mussel)
Lineage: Eukaryota; Metazoa; Mollusca; Bivalvia; Mytilida; Mytilidae
Source: RNAcentral
GGCCAAUAAAAAUAUUUGUAUUUGUAUUUGUAUUGUACAACGGAUUGUUAAAUUACAUUUCAUGAACAUCAUCGUGAACCGGGUACUAUUAUAGUGGAACCGUUUAAUAUCAACAAAAGAGUAAACUGAGAGACCAUGAGUUUAUCCUUAGUAUCCAUUGGAACCAGGUUGUUAGGAGUAUAUUUAACUUGUUUAACGUAUACAUGUCAUU